This 239-nucleotide ribosomal RNA is filed under the name uncultured bacterium. RNAcentral describes it as "partial 16S ribosomal RNA". It matches the Rfam family "Bacterial small subunit ribosomal RNA", at positions 526 to 771 of the family's 1533-position model. The record is from RNAcentral.
UACAGGGGGCAAGCGUUGUUCGGAAUUACUGGCGUAAAGGCUCGUAGGCGGCCAACUAAGUCGACGUGAAUCCCCAGGCUUAACCUGGAACUGCGUCGGAUACUGGAUGGCUUGAAUUCGGGAGAGGAUGCAGAAUUCAGGUGUAGCGGUGAAAUGCGUAGAUAUCUGGAGGAAUACCGGUGGCGAAGGCGGCAUCCUGGGCCGACGAUUGACGCUGAUGAGCGAAAGCUAGGGAGCAA